This 256-nucleotide ribosomal RNA is filed under the name uncultured bacterium. RNAcentral describes it as "partial 16S ribosomal RNA". It matches the Rfam family "Bacterial small subunit ribosomal RNA", at positions 524 to 776 of the family's 1533-position model. The record is from RNAcentral.
UACGUAGGGUGCGAGCGUUGUCCGGAUUUAUUGGGCGUAAAGGGCUCGUAGGCGGCCUGUCGCGUCGGGGAGUGAAAGCCCACUGCUUAACGGUGGGUCUGCUUCCGAUACGGGCGAGCUAGAGUUCGGCAGGGGAGACUGGAAUUCCUGGUGUAGCGGUGGAAUGCGCAGAUAUCAGGAGGAACACCGGUGGCGAAGGCGGGUCUCUGGGCCGAUACUGACACUGAGAAGCGAAAAGCGUGGGGGAGCGAACAGG